This is a long non-coding RNA of Sphaeramia orbicularis (orbiculate cardinalfish), 93 nucleotides long. RefSeq lists it as uncharacterized. The record is from RefSeq and is a predicted model, not a curated record. The transcript has 3 exons. Lineage: Eukaryota; Metazoa; Chordata; Actinopteri; Kurtiformes; Apogonidae.
AAUGUCUGGGAUUACCACUGUUGUGCAAGUUGCUUCUAAACUGUAAUCCGUUACAGAUUACUUGUUACUGUUAUUUAAAAGUAAUUCCUUGCC